Anguilla rostrata (American eel) is the source of this 2302-nucleotide long non-coding RNA. RefSeq lists it as uncharacterized. The record is from RefSeq and is a predicted model, not a curated record. Lineage: Eukaryota; Metazoa; Chordata; Actinopteri; Anguilliformes; Anguillidae. The transcript has 5 exons.
UUCACAAGGGGUGAUUCAACAAUUUCUCAACAUGGGCCUGACGUCAGGGACCAGCUGUGGCACCGCAUAGGCAAAAUUAAUGAGGUGCUGGAAGGGCACAAUAUCCCAUGGCCAGCUGUGUGGCCCUUGCAGUUGACAAUGCUAGUGUCAAUCUGGGAAUCAGGGAUUCCAUUAAGAGCAGUGUCCUGGACCAAAAUCCAUCCACCUACAUUGGCCUGGCUGUCCCUGCCACAUUGUGCACAAUAAUGCACACGCUGGUGGCUUGGUGUACUCCGAGGUAAUGGCUUGACAGUCACAACUGCAUUCUGCAUUUGCAAUGUUUUACUGAGUUGGCUACAUUUUACAUUAUGUAAAAUUAUUAAAACUAACCCUCCAGAUGUCAGGCUUUGAUGUUGAAGAUUUCUGUAGCGAACUUGCCUACUGGUGUAAAUCCAGCACUAAGACGAAGAACAUGCUUGAUGGCAAGUUAUCCCCACAUAACACAUUUAUUAUAUUCAAAAGCGGUGAUUCAGAAAUUGUUUGAAGGACCACUCUAAAAUACAUAUUUUGUUCUAUUCAGAAUUCUGCAUGUUUUGUGACACUAAGUACAUAGAGGUACUUCAGCAUUUGAGCAUCAGGUGGAUCAGUUUGGAUCUGGCUGUCAACCCCAUACUCCGCCUCUACAAGGCCCUGACGAGCUAAUUCAGAUCCACUGAGGCAGCACCCAUGCACCUAUCUACUCCAUGGGCAGGUGAGGGCAUUCAUCCGAAAGCCGAUGUCAAAAUUCUUGAAGCCUGCAGCUUUCAGAACAACAAGUUUGGAGAGUGUUGAUUUCAGGAUCAGGAAAACCAACUAGCAGAUCUCCAACUUGGUAUUGGACUGACUACAAAGGCCACAUGAGAUUCCCUCGGGUGACGUCACCAAAUUCUACAAGGCAGCAAGAGGCUUCCUGCUAAAGUCUACAGAGUAUGCAUUGAAGAAGCCACCGCUGAAUGACGUCCUGCUGCCACAUGCUGAGUUUGUGGACCUUAGGCAGAGACAAGACUCGCAUGUGGAUGAUGUGCUGUACUUUGUCCAAAGAUACAAUCACCUUCUUCCUUUUGAGGACCCAAGUGACCAGGAUAGGAUUUCAGAUGAGUUUCUGGAGUACCAGAUGCUGGAGGAAACGGACAUACCUGACACCAUCUGGAAAAGUGCCCUGAUGAGUGUUGGAGAGGAAGACCAAUUCCAUCGUAUGGACAUGGUGUGGGCACAUUUGACUAUGUGGAAGAGCCGAAUAACCGGUAAAGAACAGUUCCCCAGACUUGGGAAGGUGGCACAGCUUGUUCUAUGCCUACUUCACUCUAAUGCGGAUGCAGAACGAGUCUUCUCAACAAUUGGCCUGAACAAAACAGAGUGUAGAAACAGACUUGCAGUAGAUGGGAUGCUGUCGUUCAUUAUGUGUAUCAAAGGUAAUCAGAUUGAACCAUGCUGCUACAAAUACGAACCACCGGUAGAAAUGAUAAUCAAGUCCAAGUCUGCUGCUUAUAGUUGUACUAGGCCAAAACAGACCCUUGUGUGUGUGUGUGUGUGAGCGAAUGUGAGCGAGUGUGUGUGUGAGCGAGUGUGUAGGUGAGAGAAUGAGUGAGUGUUCAUGUAAAUAUUUGGCUGAAUGUGUGAGUGAAAGAGUGUGUGUUCAUGUAUAUAUUUGGUUGAGUGAGUAAGUGUGGUCAUGUGUAGAUUUGGCUGUGCGAGUGUGUGUGUGUGUGUGUGUUCAUGUAUUGGCUAUGUGUCUGGAGUAGGAUAGGUUCUUGUGUUCUUUUGUUUCUUUUUGUUUAUUUCUGGUUCUUGCUACCAUUCUGGUUCUCCUCUUCCUGUAAACCCUUGUUAUUGUCAUGGUUCUGUGUUUCCGUCUCUGUCUUUCCUUGUUGGGCCGCCAGAUGGUGGCACUUCUGUUUUGUGUCCUGCUUGUACCAUGUUUAAUUGUAUUAUUGUUUUCAAUUGUUCAAUUAUUGGUUCUUGGUUGUCUCGUUUUCCCUUCCCUCCCUGUGGCCUGAUUGUGCAUAGUGCCCUGCUGUGUCUCGUCAGUGUCUUGUCUAUUUAAGUUCCCUUCUCCCAGACUCAGGUGCUGGAUCCUUGGUUGUGUUUGGUGAUGUGUACUUUGCCCAUGAUUCUGCCCUGUGUGUUCCUGUCCAUGUUCUGGUUUCCACGUGCUUUUGGAUUUUCUGGAUUUUCUUGGUUUCCUGUGUUUUUUGAAGUUUGUCUUGGUGUUUUUUGAGAGUUGCCCUGCGAGGCCUUUUGUUCCCUUUUGCCCUGAACUUUUAAGUAAAGUCUUUUGUUCAUA